UAGGGAAUCUUCGGCAAUGGACGGAAGUCUGACCGAGCAACGCCGCGUGAGUGAAGAAGGUUUUCGGAUCGUAAAGCUCUGUUGUAAGAGAAGAACGAGUGUGAGAGUGGAAAGUUCACACUGUGACGGUAUCUUACCAGAAAGGGACGGCUAACUACGUGCCAGCAGCCGCGGUAAUACGUAGGUCCCGAGCGUUGUCCGGAUUUAUUGGGCGUAAAGCGAGCGCAGGCGGUUAGAUAAGUCUGAAAUUAAAGGCUGUGGCUUAACCAUAGUACGCUUUGGAAACUGUUUAACUUGAGUGCAAGAGGGGAGAGUGGAAUUCCAUGUGUAGCGGUGAAAUGCGUAGAUAUAUGGAGGAACACCGGUGGCGAAAGCGACUCUCUGGCUUGUAACUGACGCUGAGGCUCGAAAGCGUGGGGAGCAAACAGGAUUAGAUACCCUGGUAGUCCACGCCGUAAACGAUGAGUGCUAGGUGUUAGACCCUUUCCGGGGUUUAGUGCCGUAGCUAACGCAUUAAGCACUCCGCCUGGGGAGUACGACCGCAAGGUUG
This 550-nucleotide ribosomal RNA is filed under the name uncultured bacterium. Its description in RNAcentral is "bacterial SSU rRNA". It matches the Rfam family "Bacterial small subunit ribosomal RNA", at positions 355 to 896 of the family's 1533-position model. The record is from RNAcentral.